This 202-nucleotide ribosomal RNA is filed under the name uncultured Glomus. Its description in RNAcentral is "partial 18S ribosomal RNA". It matches the Rfam family "Eukaryotic small subunit ribosomal RNA", at positions 547 to 748 of the family's 1831-position model. The record is from RNAcentral. Lineage: Eukaryota; Fungi; Glomeromycota; Glomeromycetes; Glomerales; Glomeraceae.
UUUGGAGGGCAAGUUUGGUGCCAGCAGCCGCGGUAAUUCCAGCUCCAAUAGCGUAUAUUAAAGUUGUUGCAGUUAAAAAGCUUGUAGUUGAAUUUCGGGAUCAGUACGCUGGUCGUGCCUUCGGUAUGUACUGGUGUUACUGGUUCCUCCCUUCUGACGAACCGUCAUGUCAUUAAUUUGGUGUGCGGAAUCAGACGUGCUU